GUGAGGAAUAUUGGACAAUGGGCGCAAGCCUGAUCCAGCCAUGCCGCGUGCAGGAAGACGCAUCUAUGGUGCAUAAACUGCUUUUGUACGGGAAGAAACACUCCCUCGUGAGGGAGCUUGACGGUACCGUAAGAAUAAGGAUCGGCUAACUCCGUGCCAGCAGCCGCGGUAAUACGGAGGAUCCAAGCGUUAUCCGGAAUCAUUGGGUUUAAAGGGUCCGUAGGUGGGUUAAUAAGUCAGUGGUGAAAGCCCAUCGCUCAACGAUGGAACGGCCAUUGAUACUGUUAGACUUGAAUUACAAGGAAGUAACUAGAAUAUGUAGUGUAGCGGUGAAAUGCUUAGAUAUUACAUGGAAUACCAAUUGCGAAGGCAGGUUACUACUUGUGGAUUGACGCUGAUGGACGAAAGCGUGGGGAGCGAACAGGAUUAGAAACCCCGGUAGUCC
RNAcentral lists this ribosomal RNA (445 nucleotides) under uncultured bacterium. RNAcentral's name for it is "partial 16S ribosomal RNA". It matches the Rfam family "Bacterial small subunit ribosomal RNA", at positions 354 to 796 of the family's 1533-position model. The record is from RNAcentral.